GGAGGAAGGGCUAGAGCUUGGAGGUGUGUUGAGAGAUUUGGAAGACCUGAGAAUUGGAGUAAGGGAGACCCUGCCCAGCGGGACAGGGAGGCUCCCUUCCCCACAGGAUCUAAGGACUGAGGAUAACCCCACCUAAGGGGGAUGAGGUAACACCCAAAGGCCCCAUCCGGUGGGUGCUGUACUAAUGGAGGCCUCAGCCCCGCAAGGUACAGCGUGCAGGCCAAUGCCAGGGCCAGCAGGGAGUGCUAUUGAAGUGACCGGGAUUCUGUGCUGUGCACAGUUCUCUUUGCAGAAUGGGGCUCUCAGAUCUACGUGCGAGCCCUACAGACGCAGAUGGGGAUCUGAACAGUUAAACUGGAUUUGUUCUGGGUCAGGUGCCAUCAUCUGGACUAUAUUCUGCAGGCCAAAUCCUGCCCUUGUUUUCCAUCUAUGCAACCUAAUAUUCAUGGAGGAUUAGCAAUUCCCAAAUGAGAACAUGUAUGAUUGUUCAAAACAGAAUAGACAGUGCUGUGAUAGAAAUAGUUGUACUUAUUAGGGAUACAUGUUUAGCUCACCUCCUGGUUCUUCUGUACUCCAGUACUUUAAUGAUGCUAUCUUUAAUCUCUGAAAAGGUUUCUCUUACUACACUUCCUUCCCACCAUUAUCUGUCUAAGCUAUCAGUGUUCCAAGAAGCUAAUCCUCCGAGUGUCUGGUGUGAUCUUACUUUUUCACCUUUUUUCCCUAAGAAGUAACUUAGUCACACUAUGUUUAUAGAGCAAAACAUGGACCACAGUUAUGAUUUCUCAAUGAAAUAGUUGUAAGAAUCCUUUUUAACACAGGCAAAACAGUGUAUUUUCCCUUAAUUUUAUUCUCAGAAAUGGCUGAACGGUUUUUGAUGAAUUUUAUUUAUUUAAAUUUUAAAUCACCCUGAGGCAGACACCUGGCAUGACAAAUUUUAUCCCAAAUAUCCCAAAGUUUGGCAAAAUCAUAUGCAAAUGAAAACAAGACCUAUAAUGGGAAGCAUUGGGCAACCAUAAUGCCUGGC
Long non-coding RNA from Chelonia mydas (Green sea turtle), 1024 nucleotides. RefSeq lists it as uncharacterized. The record is from RefSeq and is a predicted model, not a curated record. The transcript has 3 exons. Lineage: Eukaryota; Metazoa; Chordata; Testudines; Cheloniidae.